Molecule: ribosomal RNA, 253 nt
Filed under: uncultured bacterium
Lineage: Bacteria
Description: partial 16S ribosomal RNA
Rfam family: Bacterial small subunit ribosomal RNA
Source: RNAcentral
UACAGAGGGUGCGAGCGUUAAUCGGAAUUACUGGGCGUAAAGCGCGCGCAGGCGGUCGUUCAAGUCGAGUGUGAAAGCCCCCGGCUCAACUGGGGAGGGUCACUCGAUACUGAUCGACUCGAAGGCAGAAGAGGGAAGCGGAAUUCCCGGUGUAGUGGUGAAAUGCGUAGAUAUCGGGAGGAACACCAGUGGCGAAGGCGGCUUUCUGGUCUGCUCUUGACGCUGAGGCGCGAAUGCUAGGGUAGCAAACGGG